Molecule: long non-coding RNA, 1016 nt
Organism: Cannabis sativa
Lineage: Eukaryota; Viridiplantae; Streptophyta; Magnoliopsida; Rosales; Cannabaceae
Exons: 4
Source: RefSeq, a predicted model, not a curated record
GAAACCCUCGCCCAAACCCUCACGCAAACCCUCUCUCCCAAACCCUCUCGUCUAAAUCCUCGCCCAAACCCAAAAAUUAACCCCAGCCCAAACUCCAGAAUUCCAUCCACUCCAAUCGACAUUGGCGGCGCCGUAGAAGCUAAUAACGCCUCCCGUUUGGACUUUAUUCCCAGCAAGUGCAAAUACUUAAUUGUUGAAGCCUUGUCAGUCGGCUCAUGGGGAAUUUUUCAGCUUUGGAACAUUUCUGAUGGUAUAGUUUAAAGGAAUUUUUAUGCUAACGGCAAAAGGCAUGCUGAGUAAUUGGGAACAAGUGGGACACUUACCUUGAUCUUCUCCAGGCUGAUUAUUCUGAAGGGCCAUGUUCUUGGAAUAUAUGAGAGUAAAAGGUAAAAAUGAGUUUGUGAGGGUUCCUGUUAACCCAUCCUUAUUCUACCGAGUUCACAUCUACAUAACUUCCGAAGAUGUCAUACAAGUGGCCACCCAAGAUGAACUUACGGGUUCAGCUAUGUUAUUUGGACUAAGGUAUUUCAUUAACUUUGAUUAAUAUAUCAUAUAGUCAUAUAUUAUGUUAGUGGAGUUUGAAUAUCUUAGAUAUUCAUCCGUAGGGAAGUAGGUUCUGGGUUUGAUUGACUGUGUGGAGAUAUAAGGAAAAAAUCUACCCAUUUGUUGUAUUGCUAUGCACUUAAAAAAAUUUCGGGAAUGUUAUGGAAAUAAGGGAAACUCUGCCCAUUUUUUUUUAGGACUCUAUUUGAUUUUUUUUCUUUUUUAAACAAAUGCAUUUGGGAAAAUUUAAAUCAAAGACAAAAAGAGUUAUACAAGUUUUAUGAUGUCGAGCUUCUUAGUUAUAACAAUGAGCAGGACAAGGUGAUAGCCAUCAAUCAAUUAUCAAUUUGGUUAAACACUAUGACUCAUGUAGGACAAUAUUAUUUUAUACCAUGGAACAUAGGGUAAGAAUCACACAUCUCUUUCACUUUCCCUAUGAUAUUUAUUUUUAUAUUAAUAUAACAUUGUUACUU